Sapajus apella (tufted capuchin) is the source of this 100-nucleotide long non-coding RNA. RefSeq lists it as uncharacterized. NCBI's taxonomy places the organism in Eukaryota, Metazoa, Chordata, Mammalia, Primates, Cebidae. The transcript has 3 exons. The record is from RefSeq and is a predicted model, not a curated record.
ACCCAGUGGGCUGGGAGCAAACGGUGUUUCAAUAGUUUUCCAGGACACUGGGCAGGCAGGAGUGAGGAUGAAGGGAGGUGAGGAAGGGCAGGUGAGAGGC